RNAcentral lists this ribosomal RNA (252 nucleotides) under uncultured Bacteroidales bacterium. Its description in RNAcentral is "partial 16S ribosomal RNA". It matches the Rfam family "Bacterial small subunit ribosomal RNA", at positions 524 to 776 of the family's 1533-position model. The record is from RNAcentral. Lineage: Bacteria; Pseudomonadati; Bacteroidota; Bacteroidia; Bacteroidales.
UACGGAGGAUGCGAGCGUUAUCCGGAUUUAUUGGGUUUAAAGGGUGCGCAGGCGGAAUGUCAAGUCAGCGGUAAAAUUUCGGGGCUCAACCCCGUCGUGCCGUUGAAACUGGCGUUCUUGAGUGAGCGAGAAGUAUGCGGAAUGCGUGGUGUAGCGGUGAAAUGCUUAGAUAUCAUGAAGAACUCCGAUCGCGAAGGCAAGUGUCCGGGGUGCAACUGACGCUGAGGCUCGAAAGUGCGGGUAUCAAACAGG